AGCCAUAAAGCAGACUGUUGUGAGGAAUAAACAAGUGAUAAGAAGACACCUGGCCCGUCUUCAGGCUGUAGAUUCUGAAAUAUGAAUGAAGGGAUGUGAAAGUGAUGGGCUCUGUCCUUACACCCAGCCCCAGUGGGAGCUUGGGCAGGGAGUGGGAGGAUGAGAAACGUCUUCAUUUUACACAACAAAGUGCUUCUCCAAGCUUCUGUACCUACUGUAUCUGUCAACAUUUCUGGAGGAUAGGGCUUUGUGAUUUGCAUUUUAUUUUAUUUUUGUAUUGAAGUAUAGUUGAUUUACAAUGUUAUGUUAAUUUCUGCUGUGAUUCAAUAUGCAUAUAUAGUUAUAUAUAUACACUCUUAAAAUAUUCUUUUCCAUUAUGGUUUAUCAAAGGACAUUAAAUACAGUUCUCUGUGCUAUACAGUAAGACCUUGUUGAUUAACCCAUUCAUGUAUAAUAGCUUAAACUUCUAACCCCAACCUCUCAGUCUGUCCCUCCCACAACCCCCUCCCCCUAGGCAACCACAAGUUUUUUUCACUACAUCAAUGAGUCUCUUUCUGAUUCACAGAUAGGUUCUUUUCUGUCAUUUCUUAGAUUCUACAGAUAAGUGAUAUCAUAUAUUUGUCUUUCUCUUGCUGACUCGCUUAAUAUGAGCCCUCUAGUUGUAUCCAUGUUACUGUGAAUGUCAUUCUUUCUUUUUUAUGGCUGAGUAGUAUUCCCUUGUAUAUAUAUUAUACAUCUUUAUGUGAUCUGAAUUUUUUUUUUGUCUUUUUAGGCCCACACUCGAGGCAUAUGGAGGUUCCCAGCCUAGGGGUCCAAUCAGAGCUGUAGCUGCCAGCCUACACCAUAGCCACAGCAACAUGGGAUCCGAGCUGCAUCUGCAACCUACACCACAGGUCACAGCAAUGCCAGAUCCAUAACCCACUGACUGGGGCCAGAGAUCAAAACCGAGUUCUCAUGGAUGCUAGUUGGGUUCGUUAAUCACUGAGCCACGACGUAAACUCCUAUGAUCUGAAUUUUAAAUCAACCAGAUGUGGAGUUCCCGUUGUGGCUCAGCAGAAACAAACCCGACUAGUACCCAUGAGGAUUCAGGUUCAAUCCCUGGCCCUAUCAGUGGGUUCAGGAUCCAGCAUUGCUGAGAGCUGUGGUAUAGGUUGUAGACGUGGCUUGGAUCUGGCGUUGCUGUGGCUGUGGCAUAGGCUGGCAGUUGAAGCUCUAAUUCAACCCCUAACCUGGGAACUUCCAUAUGC
Molecule: long non-coding RNA, 1247 nt
Filed under: Sus scrofa (pig)
Lineage: Eukaryota; Metazoa; Chordata; Mammalia; Artiodactyla; Suidae
Description: lncRNA (ENSSSCG00000050145.2, ENSSSCG00035025750.1)
Source: RNAcentral